GGUGUGCGUGGAUGGGGGUGCGGCGUACCUCUUUAAUGUCAAAACGACUCCUGGCAACGGAUAUCUCGGCUCUCGCAUCGAUGAAGAACGUAGCGAAAUGCGAUACUUGGUGUGAAUUGCAGAAUCCCGUGAACCAUCGAGUCUUUGAACGCAAGUUGCGCCCGAAGCCUUCGGGCCGAGGGCACGCCUGCCUGGGCG
This 198-nucleotide ribosomal RNA is filed under the name Hygrophila schulli. RNAcentral's name for it is "5.8S ribosomal RNA". The stretch from base 46 to 198 matches the Rfam family "5.8S ribosomal RNA". Rfam says of the family: 5.8S ribosomal RNA (5.8S rRNA) is a component of the large subunit of the eukaryotic ribosome. Lineage: Eukaryota; Viridiplantae; Streptophyta; Magnoliopsida; Lamiales; Acanthaceae. The record is from RNAcentral.